Macaca mulatta (Rhesus monkey) is the source of this 635-nucleotide non-coding RNA. The record is from RefSeq and is a predicted model, not a curated record. Lineage: Eukaryota; Metazoa; Chordata; Mammalia; Primates; Cercopithecidae.
CAGAGGGUCACAGUACAUAAGGCCAUCCUGGAUUGGCAGGGCAUAGAUUUACUUGGGGUGUAAAGUACAAUCCCUAAUGAGUUACAAGAGAAACAUAACAAAAGGUGAGAUAGCAAUUUGCUCCAUGCCCAGGAACUAUUGCCUAUAGAGUUUUCUGAGAGAGUUAUCCAACAGAGAAGAAAUCAGAGCUGGCCAGGGAAGGAAGCCAGUCCCUCCUGAGGAGGGCCACUGCAGGAAACAAAUAAUAAGCCAGCAUUCUAGUUCGAGAUGGAAGAAGGUCAGCUGGUUGAAGAUAAGUUUGCAGAAUGACGGUGAAAAUUCAACUAGGCAGAAUCCUGAGGAGUUCUUCGAGUGUGAGCUUGCGUGGCUGCCGGCAGACAUUACUGCAGCUCCGUCAGUCCAGCUUGACUGAAUGUCAGUUUGACUUCUGCUUCCUGUUUUGGAUACUGAGCCCUUAUCUGCUUCUCACCCUGCCCUUGCCUCUGCCUUUGAAUCUGUCCAUUUAUCUAUUCUUGGGGUGAUGGCACCAAAAUGAUUGUGGGAAUCUGUCCCAAAUCUGCAAUAUUUUGUAUAACAGAUUUAAUAAAUAUGGUAAAUCAGUCACUUGGAAAAUUAAAAACAAAGCCAAUUGCUCA